UGGGGAAUAUUGGACAAUGGGGGCAACCCUGAUCCAGCCAUGCCGCGUGAGUGAUGAAGGGCCUUCGGGUUGUAAAGCUCUUUUGGCGGGGGACGAUGAUGACGGUACCCGCAGAAUAAGCCCCGGCUAACUUCGUGCCAGCAGCCGCGGUAAGACGAAGGGGGCUAGCGUUGUUCGGAAUUACUGGGCGUAAAGCGAGUGUAGGCGGUUGCCGUAGUCAGGUGUGAAAGCCUUGAGCUCAACUCAAGAAAUGCACUUGAUACUGGGUGACUAGAGGACCGGAGAGGAUAGUGGAAUUCCCAGUGUAGUGGUGAAAUACGUAGAGAUUGGGAAGAACACCAGUGGCGAAGGCGGCUAUCUGGACGGUUACUGACGCUAAGACUCGAAAGCGUGGGGAGCAAACAGGAUUAGAUACCCUGGUAGUCCACGCCGUAAACGAUGGGUGCUAGACGUUGGCGAGCUUGCUCGUCAGUGUCGCAGCUAACGCGUUAA
RNAcentral lists this ribosomal RNA (492 nucleotides) under uncultured bacterium. RNAcentral describes it as "partial 16S ribosomal RNA". It matches the Rfam family "Bacterial small subunit ribosomal RNA", at positions 355 to 863 of the family's 1533-position model. The record is from RNAcentral.